RNAcentral lists this ribosomal RNA (906 nucleotides) under Psammocora nierstraszi. RNAcentral describes it as "12S ribosomal RNA". It matches the Rfam family "Bacterial small subunit ribosomal RNA". Lineage: Eukaryota; Metazoa; Cnidaria; Anthozoa; Scleractinia; Rhizangiidae. The record is from RNAcentral.
GUCCUUUGAUUUUGGGGAUCAAAAAGCGUUUGGUCUAAGUUAUACAUGCUUGUUAAAUGCGAACAGGUGAGGGUGAAAGAAAAAAAAAUAUUUUUUUUUUUUGUAUUAGGAAAAAAAAGAAGUUUUUUUCUUUUUUCCAAAGAUGCAGGGUAAAACCACAUUUUCACUGAAACAAGGGAAAACAUUAGCAGCAGUAAGGAAUUUUAUGUAAUAUACGAAAGUAAGACAUAGUUAGGACAUUUUUAUCUGUCAAAUUAAGUGCCAGCAGACGCGGUGAAACUUAAGGAUUUGUUUUUUAGAAAAAGCAGAAAGCGUGUAGAGGUAAAAAAAUAUUUAAAAUAAAUAGAAUUUUUUUAGUAAUAGUGAAAUGUUAUUAUAAGGAAAAGAAUUCUUUAUGUGAAAAUAAUUUAUUUUUUUUUCUUAAGCACGAGGGUUUUGGGAGUAAACAGGAUUAGAGACCCUGGUAAUCAAUACAGUAAAAAAAAAUCGCUUGAGUAGUACGGUCGCAAGAUUAAAAUUCAAAAAAUUUGGCUGUUCAUUGUUAUUUAGAGGAGCGUGUCGUUUAAUUCGAUAAUCCGCGAGUUACCUUACCAAGACUUGGUUUUCCGGUGUUGCAUGGCCGUCGUCAAUUUAUGUUUGAUACAAUAAAUUAAAUCCUAGAAAGGUUGAAGUCAGGUAUUAUUGCCCUUAUGUUUUGGGAUUAGAUGCGCUACAUUUUUUUAAUAAAAAAAAAAGAGUUCGGAGUGUUUUUAAAAUAGAGCAAUUAAGUUGAAUUUAAUAGUAAUUGAAAAGUAGAGCGUUUCAAUGAAUUUAAAACAAUGUUAGUACAAAUUGCCCGUCGCCUUUGCUGAGGUAAACAAAGCAGAGUAAGUCGUAACAUAGUGAGGGUGAGGGAACUGGUCCUUG